Molecule: ribosomal RNA, 563 nt
Filed under: uncultured bacterium
Lineage: Bacteria
Description: partial 16S ribosomal RNA
Rfam family: Bacterial small subunit ribosomal RNA
Source: RNAcentral
UAGGGAAUCUUCGGCAAUGGGGGCAACCCUGACCGAGCAACGCCGCGUGAGUGAAGAAGGUUUUCGGAUCGUAAAGCUCUGUUGUAAGUCAAGAACGGGUGUGAGAGUGGAAAGUUCACACUGUGACGGUAGCUUACCAGAAAGGGACGGCUAACUACGUGCCAGCAGCCGCGGUAAUACGUAGGUCCCGAGCGUUGUCCGGAUUUAUUGGGCGUAAAGCGAGCGCAGGCGGUUUGAUAAGUCUGAAGUUAAAGGCUGUGGCUCAACCAUAGUUCGCUUUGGAAACUGUCAAACUUGAGUGCAGAAGGGGAGAGUGGAAUUCCAUGUGUAGCGGUGAAAUGCGUAGAUAUAUGGAGGAACACCGGCGGCGAAAGCGGCUCUCUGGUCUGUAACUGACGCUGAGGCUCGAAAGCGUGGGGAGCGAACAGGAUUAGAUACCCUGGUAGUCCACGCCGUAAACGAUGAGUGCUAGGUGUUGGAUCCUUUCCGGGAUUCAGUGCCGCAGCUAACGCAUUAAGCACUCCGCCUGGGGAGUACGACCGCAAGGUUGAAACUCUAAAGUG